This 497-nucleotide ribosomal RNA is filed under the name uncultured bacterium. Its description in RNAcentral is "partial 16S ribosomal RNA". It matches the Rfam family "Bacterial small subunit ribosomal RNA", at positions 28 to 507 of the family's 1533-position model. The record is from RNAcentral.
GAUGAACGCUGGCGGCGUGCCUAAUACAUGCAAGUCGAGCGAACGGACGAGAAGCUUGCUUCUCUGAUGUUAGCGGCGGACGGGUGAGUAACACGUGGAUAACCUACCUAUAAGACUGGGAUAACUUCGGGAAACCGCAGCUAAUACCGGCUCAUACUUUGAACCGCUUGGUUCAAAAGUUCAUGACGGUCUUGCUGUCACUUAUAGAUGGAUCCGCGCUGCAUUAGCUAGUUGGUAAGGUAACGGCUUACCAAGGCAACGAUGCAUAGCCGACCUGAGAGGGUGAUCGGCCACACUGGAACUGAGACACGGUCCAGACUCCUACGGGAGGCAGCAGUAGGGAAUCUUCCGCAAUGGGCGAAAGCCUGACGGAGCAACGCCGCGUGAGUGAUGAAGGUCUUCGGAUCGUAAAACUCUGUUAUUAGGGAAGAACAUAUGUGUAAGUAACUGUGCACAUCUUGACGGUACCUAAUCAGAAAGCCACGGCUAACUACGUG